Molecule: long non-coding RNA, 1037 nt
Filed under: Parus major (Great Tit)
Lineage: Eukaryota; Metazoa; Chordata; Aves; Passeriformes; Paridae
Description: lncRNA (ENSPMJG00000012148.1)
Source: RNAcentral
UGGCUUUAAAAUUUUAUGUGCUUUUAGUGAAGUUAAUAAACAAUGGCAAAACAUAACUACAUAAUACAUAUGUUUGAAAUUCUCACAAAAAAAUAUUUGAGAUUUAAAAUUCUUUAAACUUCCUUCCUCUGGAAAUCUUAAACUGCAACUCUCAGAAUUUCUUUAAAUUUGCAGUUAUAUUCAAAAUGAAGGUUCUUUAAUUAAGAACAAUAUUUUAAUACCAUAAAAAUAUGUUCAAGCAUCUAAUAAAACAACUUUUUUUUUCUUACUUUUUAAGGUUUUGGCUGAUUUAAGUGAACCCCUUCAAAAGAACUGCCUAAGUAGUGACAUGCAACAAUAUAAUCUGACACUGUAGUGGGUGAAAGUAAGUUUUCUGCUUAAGGGGACUUUGAAAUGAUGUUGCACUGAAUGCAGCUCACAGCAAGUUAAACACAGAGAAAGAACAUGCUUGUGUACAGGACCUUACAAAGCCUUACAAAAGUGAGUAGCUUUACCUGAAUCUUGGAUGUCAGGUUAAAAAAGCUGUAUUCAACCUUUGCCAUCCUCUUUCGUGGAGACCUAGAACACUAUGGAAAUCUGGACUGCUGCAAAUCACACAAGGGAAAAUGGACUGCUGGGAAAGAGGAGGGGCUCCUGGGACACUGAAGGGUAGCAGCAUGCUUACUUAAUUGCAGAGGAAGUUGUUCUCUGGUAGUAUUGUCACUGCCACCAUAUUUUUCUUCAUAUUAGUUCUGCUUCCAUGUCUGAAAUGUCACUUUGGGGACUGCUGCCAGAUGUUGUUUGGAUGAAGGUUUCCUUAGGACUUGUGUACAGAAGACUGGAGAAAAUCAUCAUUGAGAAGAGGAAGGCAAGAAGUUAUCCCAGAGCAUCUAAAAUGUUACCUGAGUGGUGUGGUUUUACCCAUUAGUUCUCAGCACAGACUAGAGAGUUCUCUGCUCACUAAUAUUUGGAUGUCCCACUCUGAGAUGGGCUUGGGUGAUGUCCCUCAGAGGGAAAAUCACCUUUGGACCUUAGUGUUCUCAUAAUAAAUACCCGAG